This 497-nucleotide ribosomal RNA is filed under the name uncultured bacterium. Its description in RNAcentral is "partial 16S ribosomal RNA". It matches the Rfam family "Bacterial small subunit ribosomal RNA", at positions 28 to 507 of the family's 1533-position model. The record is from RNAcentral.
GAUGAACGCUGGCGGCGUGCCUAAUACAUGCAAGUCGAGCGAACAGACGAGGAGCUUGCUUCUCUGAUGUUAGCGGCGGACGGGUGAGUAACACGUGGAUAACCUACCUAUAAGACUGGGAUAACUUCGGGAAACCGGAGCUCAUACCGGAUAACAUUUUGAACCGCAUGGUUCAACAGUGAAAGACGGUCUUGCUGUCACUUAUAGAUGGAUCCGCGCCGCAUUAGCUAGUUGGUAAGGUAACGGCUUACCAAGGCAACGAUGCGUAGCCGACCUGAGAGGGUGAUCGGCCACACUGGAACUGAGACACGGUCCAGACUCCUACGGGAGGCAGCAGUAGGGAAUCUUCCGCAAUGGGCGAAAGCCUGACGGAGCAACGCCGCGUGAGUGAAGAAGGUCUUCGGAUCGUAAAACUCUGUUAUUAGGGAAGAACAAAUGUGUAAGUAACUAUGCACGUCUUGACGGUACCUAAUCAGAAAGCCACGGCUAACUACGUG